AUUGAACGCUGGCGGAAUGCUUUACACAUGCAAGUCGAACGGUAGAGGGGGCAACCCCUCGAGAGUGGCGAACGGGUGAGUAAUAUAUCGGAACGUGCCCAGUCGUGGGGGAUAACGUAGCGAAAGUUACGCUAAUACCGCAUACGAUCUAAGGAUGAAAGCGGGGGAUCGCAAGACCUCGCGCGAUUGGAGCGGCCGAUAUCAGAUUAGGUAGUUGGUGGGGUAAAGGCUCACCAAGCCAACGAUCUGUAGCUGGUCUGAGAGGACGACCAGCCACACUGGAACUGAGACACGGUCCAGACUCCUACGGGAGGAAGCAGUGGGGAAUUUUGGACAAUGGACGCAAGGCUGAUCCAGCCAUUCCGCGUACAGGAUGAAGGCCCUCGGGUUGUAAACUGCUCUUGUACGGAACGAAAAGGUCUCUCUUAAUACGGGGGACUCAUGACGGUACCGUAAGAAUAAGCACCGGCUAACUACGUGCCAGCAGCCGCCGUAA
RNAcentral lists this ribosomal RNA (496 nucleotides) under uncultured bacterium. RNAcentral's name for it is "partial 16S ribosomal RNA". It matches the Rfam family "Bacterial small subunit ribosomal RNA", at positions 30 to 523 of the family's 1533-position model. The record is from RNAcentral.